GACGAACGCUGGCGGCGUGCUUAACACAUGCAAGUCGAACGGAAAGGCCCUGCUUUUGUGGGGUGCUCGAGUGGCGAACGGGUGAGUAACACGUGAGUAACCUGCCCUUGACUUUGGGAUAACUUCAGGAAACUGGGGCUAAUACCGGAUAGGAGCUCCUGCUGCAUGGUGGGGGUUGGAAAGUUUCGGCGGUUGGGGAUGGACUCGCGGCUUAUCAGCUUGUUGGUGGGGUAGUGGCUUACCAAGGCUUUGACGGGUAGCCGGCCUGAGAGGGUGACCGGCCACAUUGGGACUGAGAUACGGCCCAGACUCCUACGGGAGGCAGCAGUGGGGAAUAUUGCACAAUGGGCGGAAGCCUGAUGCAGCAACGCCGCGUGCGGGAUGACGGCCUUCGGGUUGUAAACCGCUUUCGCCUGCGACGAAGCGUGAGUGACGGUAAUGGGUAGAGAAGCACCGGCUAACUACGUG
Molecule: ribosomal RNA, 468 nt
Filed under: uncultured bacterium
Lineage: Bacteria
Description: partial 16S ribosomal RNA
Rfam family: Bacterial small subunit ribosomal RNA
Source: RNAcentral